CCUACGGGAGGCAGCAGUAGGGAAUUUUGCGCAAUGGGCGAAAGCCUGACGCAGCAACGCCGCGUGAGGGAUGAAUGUCUUCGGAUUGUAAACCUCUGUUGAGUGGGGAAAAAAAGCCUUUUAUAGGAAUUGAUGGUACCACUUGAGGAAGCACCGGCUAACUACGUGCCAGCAGCCGCGGUAAU
Molecule: ribosomal RNA, 185 nt
Filed under: uncultured bacterium
Lineage: Bacteria
Description: partial 16S ribosomal RNA
Rfam family: Bacterial small subunit ribosomal RNA
Source: RNAcentral